RNAcentral lists this transfer RNA (71 nucleotides) under Loxodonta africana (African savanna elephant). It matches the Rfam family "tRNA". Rfam says of the family: Transfer RNA (tRNA) molecules are approximately 80 nucleotides in length. Their secondary structure includes four short double-helical elements and three loops (D, anti-codon, and T loops). The record is from Rfam by way of RNAcentral. Lineage: Eukaryota; Metazoa; Chordata; Mammalia; Proboscidea; Elephantidae.
GCAUUAGUGAUUCAGUGGUAAAAUUCUUACCUUCUAUGCAGGAGACCCAGGUUUGAUUCCUGGCCAACACA